UUUGACUGAGAAAACACCUUUGGUUCAUUGAGGAUCGUCAACUCCAACUGUUUUCCAUGUGGUGAACACUUUAUUGCCUCAUUUGUUGGGUUUUCUUUCAAUUCAUCAAAAUGAAAAGGAAGAAAACACAUAAGCUCCAUGAGCACGUCAAUGGUAACCUGAUUCUUGACAUGACACUUAAAAGAUUCAUCAGCACAAAUAAAUUUAGAAGUUUUGGAAGUACCUCCGGUUUCUUGGCUAAUUGAUGAAGGCUGAGCUGUCUUUGGUAUAGCCGGUUUUGGUGGAUGGAUCAUAACUUCAUAAUUACAUGGCCAUUUCUCCUGGUUUCGGUCUUUAUAGAAAUCUGAGAGAUCAAUCUUGAAUCCUAUGAUCUGGUUUGGCUUAGGCCGCUUCUUUUUUGGGCCUGGAUCUCCUUUAGAAAUCUGGUACUCGUAGAUAGACGGACUGAAGGACCUCUAGUUUGGAAAAUUCAUAACUUCUUCCUCCCUGAAGAUUUUCAAGUGAUUCCAAGCCUCGCUGAAUCCUUAGUGAGUUGGCUUCCUAGGGAG
This 548-nucleotide long non-coding RNA is filed under the name Brassica napus (rape). RNAcentral's name for it is "long non-coding RNA (BNAP_LNC019078)". Lineage: Eukaryota; Viridiplantae; Streptophyta; Magnoliopsida; Brassicales; Brassicaceae. The record is from RNAcentral.